GGAGAUCUGCACAUAUUGUCCCCACCAACAAGACUAAGAUAUAAUGUAGUCAGUCCUGACAGCGUACAGAUCUCUUGGAAAGCCCCCAAAGGGCAAUUCAGUGGAUAUAAGCUUCUUGUCACUCCAAGUUCAGGUGGGAAAACCAAUCAAUUAGUUCUUCAAAACACUGCAACCAAAGCAAUUAUUCAAGGUCUUAUUCCAGAUCAAAACUAUGCCCUUCAGAUCAUUGCAUUCAGUGAAGACAAGGAGAGUAAGCCAGCACAAGGCCAGUUCAGAAUUAAAGAUAUAGAGAGAAGAAAAGAAACAAGUAAAUCCAAGGUGAAGGAUCCAGAAAAAACAAAUGCGAGUAAACCAGCUCCAGAAGGAAGCCUGUUUACGUGUAAAACUCCAGCAAUUGCAGAUAUUGUGAUACUGGUGGAUGGUUCUUGGAGUAUUGGCAGGUUCAAUUUCAGACUUGUUCGACUGUUCCUGGAAAAUCUGGUUUCUGCUUUCAAUGUGGGAUCUGAGAAAACAAGAGUAGGUCUUGCACAGUACAGUGGUGAUCCCCGAAUUGAAUGGCAUUUGAAUGCCUAUGGCACAAAAGAUGCUGUUUUGGAUGCAGUCCGCAAUUUGCCAUAUAAGGGAGGGAAUACAUUAACAGGUCUUGCCUUAACUUAUAUUUUGGAAAACAGCUUUAAGCCUGAAGCAGGUGCAAGACCUGGAGUAUCUAAAAUUGGUAUACUCAUCACUGAUGGAAAGUCCCAAGAUGAUGUUAUCCCUCCUGCUAAAAACUUACGAGAUGCUGGCAUUGAGCUGUUUGCUAUUGGUGUAAAGAAUGCAGAUAUAAAUGAACUCAAAGAGAUUGCCUCUGAGCCCGACAGCACGCACGUCUACAACGUUGCUGACUUUAACUUCAUGCAUACCAUUGUUGAAGGUCUUACCAGAACAGUGUGCUCACGAGUAGAGGAACAGGAAAAGGAAAUCAAAGGAACAAUUGUUGCUUCACUUGGGGCUCCUUCGGAUUUGGUCACAUCCGAGGUAACAGCUAGAGGAUUCCGGGUUAGCUGGACACAUGCACCAGGAAAAGUUGAAAAAUACAGGGUUGUGUACUAUCCCACUCGAGGAGGACAACCAGAAGAGGUUGUGGUAGAUGGAAGCUUAUCGACAGCAGUGCUGAAAAACCUAAUGUCUUUGACUGAAUACCAGAUAGCUGUGUUUGCAAUAUACUCCAAUGCUGCUAGUGAGGGCCUCCGUGGAACUGAAACUACACUUGCCUUGCCAAUGGCGUCAGAUCUGCAAUUGUAUGAUGUGUCACAGAGCAGCAUGAGAGCAAAGUGGAAUGGAGUGGCGGGUGCCACAGGUUACAUGAUCCUAUAUGCUCCCCUCACGGAAGGACUGGCAGCAGAUGAGAAGGAGAUAAAAAUUGGGGAGGCCUCAACAGAUCUUGAACUGGAUGGACUAUUGCCAAAUACAGAAUAUACAGUCACAGUUUAUGCCAUGUUUGGAGAAGAAGCUAGUGAUCCCCUUACAGGACAAGAAACUACAUUGCCUCUAAGUCCACCAGCAAACUUGAAAUUUUCUGAUGUUGGACACAGUAGUGCUAAGCUAACGUGGGAUCCUGCUUCCAAAAAUGUAAAUGGCUAUCGCAUCAUGUACGUUAAAACAGAUGGAACAGAAACCAAUGAGGUGGAAGUUGGUCGUGUUUCAACCCAUACUCUAAAAAGCCUGACAUCCCUUACAGAGUACACUGUUGCUAUUUUCUCCCUGUAUGAUGAAGGACAAUCUGAACCACUUACUGGCAGCUUUACCACAAAAAGAGUUCCAGCUCCCCAGCAUUUGGAAAUUGAUGAAGCAUCAACAGAUAGUUUUAGGGUCAGCUGGAAGCCCACCUCCUCAGAUAUUGCUUUUUACAGAUUGGCAUGGAUUCCUUUGGACGGGGGGGAUUCUGAAGAGGUUGUCAUAAAUGGAGAUGCAGACAGUCACGUUAUUGAGGGUUUGUUGCCCAACACAGAAUAUGAAGUUUCUUUGCUGGCAGUUUUUGACGAUGAAACGGAAAGUGAAGCUGUUGCUGUUCUUGGAGCUACAUUUUUUCGAACAGGAAUCAGAAACCUUGUUAUAGACGAUGAAACAACCUCAAGCCUGAGGGUGAUGUGGGACAUUUCAGAUUACAGUGUUCAGCAGUUCAGAGUGACCUAUCUCACUGCGAAAGGAGACCGUGCUGAGGAAGCGGUAAGAAUGGUAAUGGUGCCGGGGAGACAAAAUACUUUUCUGCUUCAGCCUCUGAUGUCUGACACAGAAUACAAAGUUACCAUCACUCCCAUCUACUCUGAUGGGGAAGGAGUCAGUGUCUCAGCUCCUGGCAAAACUUUACCCCUGUCUGCUCCUAGGAAUUUACGUGUGUCAGAUGAAUGGUACAACAGAUUACGCAUCAGUUGGGAUGCCCCGCCAUCACCCACAAUGGGUUACAGAAUUGUCUACAAACCUAUCAACAUUCCUGGUCCUGCAUUGGAGACCUUUGUAGGGGAUGAUAUUAAUACCAUUCUUGUUCUAAAUCUCUUCAGUGGAACGGAGUACAGUGUUAAAGUAUUUGCUUCAUACUCAACAGGCUUCAGUGAUGCCCUAACAGGCGUAGCCAAAACCUUGUACCUGGGUGUGACAAAUUUGGAUUCCUAUCAAGUCCGCAUGACUAGCCUCUGCGCUCAGUGGCAGCUUCACAGACAUGCCACUGCGUACAGGGUUGUUAUAGAGUCGCUUGUGGAUGGGAAGAAGCGAGAGGUAAAUCUUGGUGGAGGGACGCCUAGACAUUGUUUCUUUGAGCUGAUGCCUGGAACUGAAUAUAAAAUCAGUGUUCAUGCACAGCUUCAGGAGAUAGAGGGCCCUGCUGUAAGCAUCAUGGAGACAACAUUACCAUUUCCAACUCAACCACCAACAACACCUUCAACACCACCUCCACCACCUACAAUCCCUCCUGCGAAAGAGGUGUGCAAAGCAGCCAAAGCUGACCUAGCGUUCCUGGUGGAUGGGUCAUGGAGUAUUGGAGAUGACAAUUUCAAUAAAAUAAUCAGCUUUCUCUACAGCACUGUUGGAGCUUUGGAUAAGAUUGGUCCUGAUGGAACGCAGGUGGCGAUAAUUCAGUUCAGUGAUGAUCCCAGGACAGAAUUUAAAUUGAAUGCAUAUAAAACAAAAGAGACUCUUCUUGAAGCUAUUCAGCAAAUAGCCUACAAAGGAGGGAAUACAAAAACAGGCAAAGCCAUUAAACAUGCAAGAGAAGUCUUGUUUACGGGAGAGGCGGGCAUGAGGAGGGGCAUUCCGAAGGUUUUGGUUGUCAUUACUGAUGGGCGAUCACAGGACGAUGUGAACAAAGUCUCCAGAGAAAUGCAACUGGAUGGUUUCAGCUUUUUUGCUAUUGGAGUAGCUGAUGCUGACUAUUCGGAGUUAGUUAAUAUUGGCAGCAAACCCAGUGAAAGACAUGUCUUCUUUGUGGAUGACUUUGACGCCUUCACAAAGAUUGAAGAUGAGCUGAUCACUUUUGUUUGUGAAACUGCAUCAGCAACCUGCCCAUUGGUAGUUAAAGAUGGCAACAAUUUUGCAGGAUUUAAAAUGAUGGAAAUGUUUGGUUUGGUUGAAAAGGAGUUUUCAGCUGUGGAAGGGGUUUCAAUGGAACCCGGUACAUUUAAUGUUUACCCAUGCUACAGACUGCACAAGGAUGCCCUGGUAUCCCAGCCUACCAAGUAUUUGCAUCCUGAAGGUCUUCCUUCUGAUUACACCAUUACGUUUCUCUUUCGUAUCCUCCCCGACACACCUCAAGAGCCAUUUGCUCUUUGGGAGAUUUUAAAUGAAGCAUAUGAACCACUGGUUGGAGUUAUUUUAGAUAAUGGUGGCAAAACUCUGACUUUCUUUAACUACGACUACAAAGGAGAUUUUCAAACUGUCACGUUUGAAGGUCCUGAAAUAAGGAAGAUAUUUUAUGGGAGCUUUCAUAAGUUGCAUGUUGUUAUCAGCAAGACUACGGCUAAAAUAAUUAUUGACUGCAAGCAAGUGAGUGAGAAGACCAUUAAUGCAGCAGGGAAUAUCAGUUCUGAUGGCAUAGAAGUGCUGGGGAGGAUGGUCAGAUCCAGAGGACCAAGAGAUAACUCUGCACCACUGCAGUUACAGAUGUUUGACAUUGUUUGUGCUACCUCAUGGGCCAAUCGGGACAAAUGCUGUGAGCUUCCUGGCUUGAGAGAUGAAGAAAACUGUCCUGCCCUUCCUCAUGCUUGUUCCUGCUCAGAAGCUAAUAAGGGUCCCCUUGGACCUCCUGGUCCACCGGGACCAGAUGGACCUCGAGGUGAAAUUGGUGUUCCCGGACCACAAGGACCUCCAGGACCACAAGGACCCAGUGGACUUUCUAUUCAAGGGCUUCCAGUGAGACUUACAAAAUCAAUAUGUUAUGACACUGCUCCUGUUGUUGUCCAGGGUGAUCUCCAGUCCCAAGCAAUGGUGCGUGCUGUUGCUCGGCAAGUGUGUGAGCAACUCAUCCAGGGUCAUAUGGCAAGAUAUAACUCAAUUCUGAACCAGAUUCCAAGCCAGUCUGUCUCAACCCGAACCAUCGCAGGACCCCCUGGUGAGCCAGGUCGGCCAGGGGCUCCAGGGCCACAAGGAGAACAAGGUUCCCCAGGCAUGCAAGGGUUUCCAGGAAGUCCCGGUCAACCAGGAAGACCAGGAGAAAGAGGUUUACCAGGCGAGAAGGGAGAAAAAGGCAAUCCAGGAGUUGGAACACAAGGACCCCGAGGCCCACCAGGAUCUACAGGACCUCCAGGAGAAAGUCGAACUGGCAGCCCGGGACCACCAGGUUCUCCAGGCCCACGAGGUCCCCCCGGCCACACGGGGCCCCCGGGUUCCCAGGGUCCUUCAGGCCCGCCGGGGUACUGCGACCCGUCCUCCUGCGCGGGGGUGGCAUUUCCUAACAGCCAAAAUAAGAUGGAGACUACUGGCCAACCUUGGUAG
This 4965-nucleotide long non-coding RNA is filed under the name Calidris pygmaea (Spoon-billed sandpiper). Its description in RNAcentral is "lncRNA (ENSCPGG00000009151.1)". The record is from RNAcentral. Lineage: Eukaryota; Metazoa; Chordata; Aves; Charadriiformes; Scolopacidae.